This 402-nucleotide unclassified non-coding RNA is filed under the name plant metagenome. Its description in RNAcentral is "partial contains 5.8S ribosomal RNA, internal transcribed spacer 2, and large subunit ribosomal RNA". It matches the Rfam family "Bacterial small subunit ribosomal RNA", at positions 358 to 777 of the family's 1533-position model. The record is from RNAcentral.
GGAAUAUUGGACAAUGGGCGCAAGCCUGAUCCAGCCAUGCCGCGUGAGUGAUGACGGCCCUAGGGUUGUAAAGCUCUUUCGCAGGUGAAGAUAAUGACGGUAACCUGAGAAGAAGCCCCGGCUAACUUCGUGCCAGCAGCCGCGGUAAUACGAAGGGGGCUAGCGUUGUUCGGAAUUACUGGGCGUAAAGCGCACGUAGGCGGACUAUUAAGUCAGGGGUGAAAUCCCGGGGCUCAACCCCGGAACUGCCUUUGAUACUGGUAGUCUGGAGUCCGGAAGAGGUGAGUGGAAUUCCGAGUGUAGAGGUGAAAUUCGUAGAUAUUCGGAGGAACACCAGUGGCGAAGGCGGCUCACUGGUCCGGUACUGACGCUGAGGUGCGAAAGCGUGGGGAGCAAACAGGA